UUCUUUCCUUUUACUUUAUUUGUCUUUUGCAGAAGACGAUUGCUCUCUCCACCCGUUCCUGCCGUUUGGGGGCUGAUAGCUCUCUCCUUGGAGCCAAGAAUGGUCCCAUUAAAAAUGAAAGUAUAAAGCACAGCUAGAUUUUAAUUCACUGCAUCAACAUUUCUAUAUACACAGAGAGAAGGAGAGAAAUAAAUUUAUAAUACUAUACGCACACAUGCUAAAGACUGAGGUCCUGUUGAGUGCUGUCACUGAAGUGUUGCCUAAAGCUGAUGUCUUAUCUCUCUAAUUUCCAAAUAUUUCUUAAAAAAGUGAGUGUCUUUCAAGUCCCCGCGCUAUGAAGUACAAAGCGAGCUUGGAGAUGGAGCACUUCUGUGUCAACAGUGUCAAAGCAGGAUGCAGGUCUCCCUCUCCAACUUUCCGCUGUGUUUUAAAUCCUUACUCAGAGAAUGAAGAAAUCGGUGCAAGUUUGGACAACGUUUGGAGCUGAGGAGAAGCCCUGCCCUGUGGCUUCAUGAUGAUGUGGCAUCUCCAUGCAGAGACACUGCUGCUGCCAUCCACCGUGGUUUGAAGCAUUGGGACUGAACCAAAGGAAGAAAACUUCCAGGUACCGUUAACUCCAGAGGUGCUGUACCCCAUGGCCAAAGCUGGCACCCCAGGGCCAUCUCUGCAGUGAUCCCCAUUCGCUCCGUGCUCAGAAAAACUGGAUUUCUUGCCAUCCAUCCAUUCGUCAAAUCCUUCCAUCCUGCAGGCCUGCCACAGUGGCGGAAGAAGGGAGAGAGGCCAAGCUGAUACCUGAGGGAUGAGGACAAGGUGAACCUGUCUGUGCACAAGUGGGUUUAGGAAGCUUCACUGAAAACCUG
Molecule: long non-coding RNA, 860 nt
Organism: Grus americana (Whooping crane)
Lineage: Eukaryota; Metazoa; Chordata; Aves; Gruiformes; Gruidae
Exons: 3
Source: RefSeq, a predicted model, not a curated record